Molecule: unclassified non-coding RNA, 224 nt
Filed under: uncultured Gammaproteobacteria bacterium
Lineage: Bacteria; Pseudomonadati; Pseudomonadota; Gammaproteobacteria
Description: contains 16S-23S intergenic spacer region
Source: RNAcentral
UCCGGUUUGUCACCGGCAGUCUCAUUAGAGUGCUCAACUGAAUGUAGCAACUAAUGACAAGGGUUGCGCUCGUUGCGGGACUUAACCCAACAUCUCACGACACGAGCUGACGACAGCCAUGCAGCACCUGUGUUCAGGUUCCCUUUCGGGCACCUCUGCAUUUCUGCAGAGUUCCUGACAUGUCAAGGGUAGGUAAGGUGGGGAUGACGUGUGAGAGUACGUCC